GAUGAACGCUGGCGGCGUGCCUAAUACAUGCAAGUAGAACGCUGAAGGAGGAGCUUGCUCUUCUGGAUGAGUUGCGAACGGGUGAGUAACGCGUAGGUAACCUGCCUGGUAGCGGGGGAUAACUAUUGGAAACGAUAGCUAAUACCGCAUGACAACAGUUAUUGCAUGAUAACUGUUUAAAAGGGGCAACUGCUCCACUACCAGAUGGACCUGCGUUGUAUUAGCUAGUUGGUGAGGUAACGGCUCACCAAGGCGACGAUACAUAGCCGACCUGAGAGGGUGAUCGGCCACACUGGGACUGAGACACGGCCCAGACUCCUACGGGAGGCAGCAGUAGGGAAUCUUCGGCAAUGGACGGAAGUCUGACCGAGCAGCGCCGCGUGAGUGAAGAAGGUUUUCGGAUCGUAAAGCUCUGUUGUAAGAGAAGAACGAGUGUGAGAGUGGAAAGUUCACACUGUGACGGUAUCUUACCAGAAAGGGACGGCUAACUACGUG
Molecule: ribosomal RNA, 495 nt
Filed under: uncultured bacterium
Lineage: Bacteria
Description: partial 16S ribosomal RNA
Rfam family: Bacterial small subunit ribosomal RNA
Source: RNAcentral